AGUGAACGCUGGCGGUAGGCCUAACACAUGCAAGUCGAACGGCAGCACAGUAAGAGCUUGCUCUUACGGGUGGCGAGUGGCGGACGGGUGAGGAAUACAUCGGAAUCUACUUUUUCGUGGGGGAUAACGUAGGGAAACUUACGCUAAUACCGCAUACGACCUACGGGUGAAAGCAGGGGAUCUUCGGACCUUGCGCGAUUGAAUGAGCCGAUGUCGGAUUAGCUAGUUGGCGGGGUAAAGGCCCACCAAGGCGACGAUCCGUAGCUGGUCUGAGAGGAUGAUCAGCCACACUGGAACUGAGACACGGUCCAGACUCCUACGGGAGGCAGCAGUGGGGAAUAUUGGACAAUGGGCGCAAGCCUGAUCCAGCCAUACCGCGUGGGUGAAGAAGGCCUUCGGGUUGUAAAGCCCUUUGUUGGGAAAGAAAAGCAGCAGGUUAAUACCCCGCUGUUCUGACGGGACCCAAAGAAUAAGCACCGGCUAACUUCGU
Molecule: ribosomal RNA, 490 nt
Filed under: uncultured bacterium
Lineage: Bacteria
Description: partial 16S ribosomal RNA
Rfam family: Bacterial small subunit ribosomal RNA
Source: RNAcentral